This 493-nucleotide long non-coding RNA is filed under the name Salmo salar (Atlantic salmon). RNAcentral's name for it is "lncRNA (ENSSSAG00000117170.1)". Lineage: Eukaryota; Metazoa; Chordata; Actinopteri; Salmoniformes; Salmonidae. The record is from RNAcentral.
GAAACCCCUGGGUUACAGUAACGUUUCAUUGUGUACAGGUCGGGUUCUUUUAUGGUCAUGCGACUGUGGGUUGCCAUCAGAUCUUUUCUUCUUCUCUAGUAUUUUGUGAAAGAUUUCCUGUCCACUGCCUCUGAACUGACAAGAUUACCGCAGAGAAAGAGGGAGGGGAAAAAAAGAGAGAGAGAGAGAGCGAAAGACAGAGCACGAAAGAGAGCGAAAGAGAGGGGCCCAGGUCUGACAGAAUCUGUGCAGAAGAUAUAGGUGCUGCUGUAGGCCCUCCUUGGUUGUGGACAGAAGAACCAGAUCAUCAGCAAUGUCACGACUUCCGCCGAAGUCAGUUCCUCUCCUUGUUCGGACGGCGCUCGGCGGUCGACAUCGCCGGUCUUCUAGCCAUCGCCGAUCCACUUUUCAUUUUCCAAUGGUUUUGUCUUUGUUUCCCACACACCUGGUUUUCAUUUCCCAAUUACUGGUCAUGUAUUUAACCCUCUGUUUC